Molecule: ribosomal RNA, 704 nt
Filed under: uncultured bacterium
Lineage: Bacteria
Description: bacterial SSU rRNA
Rfam family: Bacterial small subunit ribosomal RNA
Source: RNAcentral
AACGAACGUUAGCGGCGCGCCUAACACAUGCAAGUCGCACGAGAAAGGGCUUCGGCCCCGGUAAAGUGGCGCACGGGUGAGUAACACGUGGGUAAUCUGCCCUCGAGCGGGGGCAUAACAUUGCCGAAAGGAGUGCUAAUACCGCAUAAGACUACGACCUCGAAAGAGGAUGCAGUCAAAGCUGGCCUCUAUACAUAAGCUAGCACUUGAGGAUGAGCCCGCGGCGCAUCACGGUAGUUGGUGAGGUAAUGGCUCACCAAGCCUAAGACGCGUAGCUGGUCUGAGAGGAUGAUCAGCCACACUGGAACUGAGACACGGUCCAGACUCCUACGGGAGGCAGCAGUGGGGAAUCUUGCGCAAUGGGCGAAAGCCUGACGCAGCGACGCCGCGUGAGUGAUGAAGGCCUUCGGGUUGUAAAGCUCUGUGGGGCGAGACGAAUAAGUGCAGCCUAAUACGUUGCAUGAUGACGGUAUCGCCUUAGCAAGCACCGGGUAACUCUGUGCCAGCAGCCGCGGUAAGACAGAGGGUGCAAACGUUGUUCGGAAUUACUGGGCGUAAAGCGUGUGUAGGCGGUCUCAUAAGUCGGGUGUGAAAGCCCCGGGGCUCAACCCGGGAAGUGCACUCGAAACUGCGAGGCUAGAGUACUGGAGAGGUUGGUGGAAUUCUCGGUGUAGAGGUGAAAUUCGUAGAUAUCGAGAGGAACA